This 365-nucleotide unclassified non-coding RNA is filed under the name Neodiprion pinetum (white pine sawfly). RNAcentral describes it as "uncharacterized LOC124213051, transcript variant X2". Lineage: Eukaryota; Metazoa; Arthropoda; Insecta; Hymenoptera; Diprionidae. The record is from RNAcentral.
AGAACGGCAGCGUUAUUAGCUGACCCGUUGACUGAAGAAUAUAUCUUUAGUCGACGGCUGACCAUCGAAGGGCCUAGCCGCUUGACCCUGGAACCGGCAGGAAAGAUGAAGACAAGCACUCCGUGGUUUCUGCGCUCCAGGUCCACUACUGGGCGAAACUCGACUUCAAGGAGAGGACGAGGAGGUGGAGAAAGACAUGUAGAACAAGGAGGACGAGGUGGAUUUUUCGCGCAAGCCCUGAUUCGUUUUCAAGGUAUAACCCGAAGUGGUUAGUGGUGGUCGUUGGAGGUGGUUGGCGGCGGUUGCGGGUGAUCAAGGUGGACGAGGUGGAGGACGAGGACGAUGAGGACAACAAGGUGGACGAG